Macadamia integrifolia is the source of this 2878-nucleotide RNA transcript. RefSeq lists it as uncharacterized. Lineage: Eukaryota; Viridiplantae; Streptophyta; Magnoliopsida; Proteales; Proteaceae. The record is from RefSeq and is a predicted model, not a curated record. The transcript has 8 exons.
AAGGCAGGGUUUUGGAAGCAAGAGUUUGCCUUUCCCGAAAACUAUAAAUAUUUCUAAACUCCCCCAAUUUUAAGCCCUAGAUACGAUUUCGCCUCCCUUGACCGUGACAUUCUGAUUGCAGCGAAAAUAAGCUCCUAACAGCCUCUAAAACCCUACUUUUCUUAUCAAUUACUCCUUCGAGUCUCAUUUCAAUCCAUGGAAUACUCACCUCUUAGGGAAGGAGAGCUUCGGGGAGAAGUGGAUAUGGCGUCUUUUCCUCCUCCUUGAUUUACUGAAACAAUUAAAGAUGGAAGCAGCACUGGUUUAGUUUGAAGUUGAGGGCCGCCUGUUUAUUGACGAUGGAUGCGGUGAAGUUUUCUCUUCCGGCGGUUGUGCCCGUGUCAAAGCUUUUGAAUGCUGAGGGUUUUAGCAGAGGUGGGGUUACUAAGGUUGAGGAAGCAGAAGUGCGGAAAGCUGAGUCUGGUUCCAUUCUUAGAACACCUUCUCCGGUUAACGGUUGGAUCUCUUCGUGUAGCCCUAAAGAUGUAAUGCGUGUUACUACUUCAGAACAAGAUUCAGCUUCCAGACAGAGAAAGGCUGAAGUUGAACUUUGUAGGGAUGAAAAGAAAAAUUCCAACUUUCUGGGUGAAAAUAUCACAGAACACUGUGGGAAUGUAAAUGCUCCUCUUUUCAUGUUGCCCAAGAGUGCAGGUAAACACUGUAAUCGAAAAUCAGGAAAAGGCGAGAGUACUAGCCCUUGCUUGAAGAGACAAAGAGCAGAUCAAUUUGAAGAUGCCAUGAACCAUGAUGGAGUUGAUGAUAGUAAUGUUAUAUCUGAGAUGCCUGGACCUAGUCAAGAAAAAUGCACCUUCUCUGGUAAGAAAUCUCGGGUUGUGAAACAGAAGCAUGGCCGUGAUGUCAAACGUGUUAAAGCAAAGAAUAAAUUUGACCCUUUCUUUCCAAAGGGUGGUCUUUUGAGCUCUAACUCAGCUGUAGGAGGGAACAACAUUCUAGGAAUAUAUGGUCUCAAGUCAGGUAUUCAUGAUGUUACAAAGCAUGUAGAUGAGCUGUCAUUGAAUGAGCUCCUUGAUGGCAGUUAUGAAUGUUCUAAUAUAUGCCAAGACAUAGGGAAGAAGGUAGCCGAUACAAAUGAAAACAUUCUACAUUCAGUCAGAAAGGCAUGCUUUAUACUUCAGCUCAAGAGACCUGUGCAGUCCCAAAAUUCUUUUGAGUUAGAUAGUGGUUCCAAUAGAAAUGCACCUUCAUGGUUAGUGAUCUCUGGUUCUUGCGGCACAAGCAGUAUGGACUGUGAUAAAGUGGUUAACAACACAGCAAAUUUCACUUCGCCGAGUGAGAUUCACUAUUCCUGUAGCAAGCGUGGACCUUCUGUCAAUGUUAACAAUUCCCCAUUACUUCAGCCUAAAGAUAUCCUGGAACGGUUAGCACUACCACCAGCCAAAGAUUUGGAUUCUCUCCUAUUGGAUUUGUCCAAGCUAGGAGUGUCUUCAAGGAGUUCUACAGAUCUACGUCCAAGCAAGCUAACAUCUAAGAGAGUUGGCUUGCCCCCUUUUUCUUGGUCACAUUCUAUUGGUGUGCCAUGCAAAACCAAUGCUGAUGUGGGCAAGCUGGGUACAACCAGGAGCACAAGUCAAGGUCGAUGGGUAAGGAUAGGAAGUGCUGCCAGCUCUCUUGGGAAUGCCUGUGGUGGUUUUUCAGAUUUGGAUUCAUUGACUUACGAUCUCAGUUUAAUUCCUUCAAGAGGACUAAAGCUGGGUCUUUCUGAAGAUGAAAAAGUACCCUCAGUGCAUUUUAAACCUCCUUGGCAAGAGCCAUUAUCAUCUACUACAAGAUUUUAUCCAGCUUCUCAUAUUUCAGAAGCUGAACAGGAUAUGAAGUAUCAGGGAAAUGGUGACAUCUUAAAGGACAAUUUUGUUAAAAAAGAGCAGUCCAAAAUUAAAAGCGAUGAUGGUUGUACUAAUAAUUGCUACUGUUCUCCAUCAAAAUCUGCUGUUGGUGACUGCAAUGGACUUUUGUCAAAUUCACUUAUGCCAGAAAACUCGAAGCAAGCUGUACAUUGUCCAAGACUACUGGCUGCUGCUCAAAUACUCUGUGAGAUAGCAAGUGAUUUCAGGAAACAAAUCCAAACCAAUGGGAAGAACAGAUGGCCCAAGAAACCAUCACAGAAGGCCAUGAAAGCUUGCAAGUUGAAGAGUGCAACAGGAAAAGCAGUUCUGUCUAUUGCAGCAAAAUCAGUGACAGGAUCUGGUGAUCUGGUCAAGGUUGCUGAACAGAUGACACAGUCAAAGCCGCCCAAGUUCUACACAGCUGAUAAGAAUAAGGAUCUGGUUUACACCAACAACCUUGGAAAAGGAUUAAUAAAAUGGCCGACAGGCCCAACAACAACAUCAAGUACAUCAUCUCCUACUAAAUUAGAGGGGGUCACAGCGGCUGAUUCUAAGGUAUCGAACACUAACAUGGUGAAUCUACUAGGUAUGAAGUCCUUUUCCACUCGAGUACUAGAAAAGGCAUGCAACAGUCAUCAGAAGCCAAGAAAACCACUGACAGUGGAUUGGGGAAGAGGAAGAUGCAAGAAAGAGUAAAUGGCUCCUUCAUUCUUGGCAAUGCCUGCUUGUUUAUUUAGCUUCUGGCUCGGAUGUGACCCUUGGGGCUGUUUAACUUAAAACACACAAAAUUAGUGAAAUAAGGUGUUUUGGGCUUGGGUUGGUGAUCCAACUUUGGACAAAGAAGACAUAUUUUGGAUCAAGUCAAGAGUCAAAUUUCAAAGUCCUAUUCAAUUGAGGGAAAAAACUGGCUUGUUAUUAUGGCUGAGUAUACUAAUACCUUUUUGUCUCAUCUCUUUACCUCAAAUGAAAUUACCUCGCUUCCCUCUUAUAGAUAA